RNAcentral lists this RNase P RNA (341 nucleotides) under Spirochaetales bacterium. Its description in RNAcentral is "RNase P RNA component class A". It matches the Rfam family "Bacterial RNase P class A". Rfam says of the family: Ribonuclease P (RNase P) is a ubiquitous endoribonuclease, found in archaea, bacteria and eukarya as well as chloroplasts and mitochondria. Its best characterised activity is the generation of mature 5'-ends of tRNAs by cleaving the 5'-leader elements of precursor-tRNAs. The record is from RNAcentral. Lineage: Bacteria; Pseudomonadati; Spirochaetota; Spirochaetia; Spirochaetales.
UAGGCAGGCUAGACCGUCGCCCCGAAAGGGGAGGAAAGUCCGGGCUCCGUAGAGCAUGGUACCGGGUAACACCCGGACACCCGAUCAGGGUGAUAGAAAGUGCCACAGAAAACAAACCGCCCGGGGGCUAUGCCCCACGGGUAAGGGUGAAAAGGCGGUGUAAGAGACCACCGCUUCGAUGGCGACAUCGAAGGCACGGCAAACCUUACCAGGAGCAAAGUCAAGAAGCGGAGAGGUGCUCCCUCAGUAUCCGCGGGUAGACUGCUAGAGGGUUUCGGAAACGGAACUCCCAGAUAGAUGACGGUCCUCGACAGAACCCGGCUUAUCGGCCUGCCAUUUUU